UGCAGACUACCUGUAUACAUAUACCUGACUCAGCACUGCAGACUACCUGUAGUGAAAUGGAGGACGGACAGAGCUGGAUGAUGACUACCGUUAAACUAGAAGAAGAAGAAAUAUUAUUGAGGGAAGUGAAGCUGAGUAUGAGUAAGACGGACAGUGAUGAUGAUGAUGAUGAUGAAGGCUGCAGGAGGAAAGCUGUGCUGGAGGAGCUUCGUCAUCCCGACCAUGUGUGGGACGGAAUGUUUGCUCCAAAGAUGGAGAAAAGCGGAGAAGAAGAAACGGAGGAGUUUUCAGAUGUGUGCUCUGUGAAGGAAGAGCAAUGCAUGUCUAAACGUUUUGAUGGAUCACAACAAGCUUUGGAUCUGAACAGUAUUCACACAGACACAGGUAACCACACCACAUCUUUUGGCCUUAGAUUAUUCACAAUGUUGACCACUUCCUUUGACAUCUCAAAGGAAACACCUUGGAUUGUGAAUGUGUUGUUUUAUAUAGUGGAAGUAUUUAUCAAUCACUGCUUUUUAAAACACAAUCUAAAUGGUUUGUGUUACUGGGUUAACAGGCUGGAAGCACCAGGUGAUACUUUUAUAUACAGUUUACAUUUUUUGUGGUUAGAAUUAUUAUUCAUUGAUUACAGUUGGUUUCAUAAUGUAUUAUUAUUAUUACUUAAAAUGUGGUUUAAAUAUUUAAAAUCUUCAGAAUUGUGUUGUUUCAUGAUGACCUUGUGGAUUCUUUCAUAAGUGGACGUGAAUGUUGAAACUUUUAUCUGUUUAACAGACUUGGUGUCAAAGUGGUUUUAAACAGGAAAACAAACAUGGAGGCCGUCAUUAAGAUCAUUGAAGAAAACAUUCCUCAGGUAACGGUCGUACGACAAUCAGCAACAAUCUGUGUAUCUUCAUAUACUGUGGAUACUUUAAAAGUUAGAUCAUCAAAGUGAAGUCCAGACCUAAUGAAAGCAAUGUUUUCAAUGUCGUGCAGUCAUGAACGAUGGAGACAACAGGACUCUACGGGUGAUGCUGUUGGGUUGAGGUCGAGAGGGGGCGGGGCUCAUAAUCAGUGGAAAGCCAAAGACGUAAAUAGCGUCCGCCUCCACUCACAGUCUGGUGUUGGCCUAAAACAAGCCUCUUGUUUUCAUUGAAGUGGAGAGUUUGGCUAAUAUGUUAAACUGCAGAUGUAAAUGUGAUUGGAUGGAAGGUUGAAGCUCCGCCUUUGUCUGAAAAAUGAUCAGGAAAAUCCCUUGAAAAUCCUGUGAUGGUUGUGAUCAGUACACAAAGCUCAGUCUAAGGGAGAGCAGUGAAGACUGUAAUCAUUCUUAGGCUACAUUUACUCUCAUUAAUCUAGUUUAUGAAAAGAUCAUUGCUUCAAAAAAACAUUUUUUAUAAAAAAAACUCUGUUUUGUUCUUGAGUGACGGUGACUCGUUGAUUGUCCUGCAUAUUGACCAGAGUGGGAGGAGUUAAGACCAGACUGGUGGUAACCACCUCUCUCCCAGCAGCGUAUCACUUCUCUCUUUAGAAAAAACCAUUUGUUUGGCAGUUUUCAGCUCAAACUGGUCGACCGUGUUUGUGUAUGUGUUGCUUUGCCACGUCUAAUCUGUGUGUAGAGGGUGAGUUUACCUGCUGGUAAGUACACUCCAGGGUGGGCGUUCAGGUGAACGUGGGACAUGGUCAGACAUGUAUGUUAGCGUAUACUCAACAAUAAGGAAGCUGAAAUCCUUCCUGAUGCUGGUCAUAUUGAAACAG
This 1734-nucleotide long non-coding RNA is filed under the name Gouania willdenowi (blunt-snouted clingfish). RNAcentral describes it as "lncRNA (ENSGWIG00000017361.1)". Lineage: Eukaryota; Metazoa; Chordata; Actinopteri; Blenniiformes; Gobiesocidae. The record is from RNAcentral.